GACGAACGCUGGCGGCGUGCUUAACACAUGCAAGUCGAACGGAAAGGCCCUGCUUUUGUGGGGUGCUCGAGUGGCGAGCGGGUGAGUAACACGUGUGUAACCCGCUCUUGACUUUGGGAUGACUUCAGGACACUGGGUCUAAUACCGGAUCGGAGCUCCUGCUGCAUGGUGGGGGUUAGAAAGUUUCGUCGGGUGGGGAUGGACUCGCGGCUUAUCUGCUUGUUGGUGGGGUAGUGGCUUACCCAGGCUUGGGCGGGUAGCCGGCCUGGGAGGGUGACCGGCCACAUUGGGACUGAGAGACGGCCCAGACUCCUACGGGGGGAAGAAGUGGGGAAUAUUGAACAAGGGGGGGAGGCCGGAUGAAGCAAGCCGGCGGGCGGGAUAACGGCCUUCGGGUGGUAAACCGCUUUAGCGUGUAACGAAGUGUGAGUGACGGUAAUGGGUAAAGAAGCACCGGCUAACUACGUG
This 468-nucleotide ribosomal RNA is filed under the name uncultured bacterium. RNAcentral's name for it is "partial 16S ribosomal RNA". It matches the Rfam family "Bacterial small subunit ribosomal RNA", at positions 28 to 507 of the family's 1533-position model. The record is from RNAcentral.